Molecule: ribosomal RNA, 253 nt
Filed under: uncultured bacterium
Lineage: Bacteria
Description: partial 16S ribosomal RNA
Rfam family: Bacterial small subunit ribosomal RNA
Source: RNAcentral
GACGUAGGGCGCGAGCGUUGUCCGGAUUUAUUGGGCGUAAAGAGCUCGUAGGCGGCUUGUCGCGUCGUUCGUGAAAACCUGCAGCUCAACUGCAGGCUUGCGGUCGAUACGGGCAGGCUAGAGUGCGGUAGGGGAGAUUGGAAUUCCUGGUGUAGCGGUGGAAUGCGCAGAUAUCAGGAGGAACACCAAUGGCGAAGGCAGAUCUCUGGGCCGUAACUGACGCUGAGGAGCGAAAGCAUGGGGAGCGAACAGG